AUGAACGCUGGCGGCGUGCCUAAUACAUGCAAGUCGAGCGAACGGACGAGAAGCUUGCUUCUCUGAUGUUAGCGGCGGACGGGUGAGUAACACGUGGAUAACCUACCUAUAAGACUGGGAUAACUUCGGGAAACCGGAGCUAAUACCGGAUAAUAUUUUGAACCGCAUGGUUCAAAAGUGAAAGACGGUCUUGCUGUCACUUAUAGAUGGAUCCGCGCUGCAUUAGCUAGUUGGUAAGGUAACGGCUUACCAAGGCAACGAUGCAUAGCCGACCUGAGAGGGUGAUCGGCCACACUGGAACUGAGACACGGUCCAGACUCCUACGGGAGGCAGCAGUAGGGAAUCUUCCGCAAUGGGCGAAAGCCUGACGGAGCAACGCCGCGUGAGUGAUAAAGGUCUUCGGAUCGUAAAACUCUGUUAUUAGGGAAGAACAUAUGUGUAAGUAACUGUGCACAUCUUGACGGUACCUAAUCAGAAAGCCACGGCUAACUACGUG
This 496-nucleotide ribosomal RNA is filed under the name uncultured bacterium. Its description in RNAcentral is "partial 16S ribosomal RNA". It matches the Rfam family "Bacterial small subunit ribosomal RNA", at positions 29 to 507 of the family's 1533-position model. The record is from RNAcentral.